CUCCACAGUUAUGACAGUAACAUUGAAAGAGUAAAGGGAAAAGCAGUUGGUAGGCCAAGAGGAAAAAAAUAUAGUACAGGGUCGUGGUAGGAUGUUAAAUCAAGAUUGAUCGGUACCAAAGGCAUGAUGUCUUAAAUGUCUACAAGCUUGCGCCAUUGGCUACAUGAAUAACUUGAAAUUGUUUACUAAGAAGAUACCUAUUAUAGAUCACGGAAGAUUGAAGCAUCUACUACUCUUAAUGUCGACGAUGUGGAUUGAUUUCAUUUUCAUGGCAAUAACGUGCAUAUUUUAUUUUUUAUUUUCGAUUUUCAUAUUCUUAUUAUAAAAUAUUUGCGUGCAUGUUUCAAGGACAGUGAAACAUUCAACUAUUGUUGAUCGGUGUUUUAAGGUCGUUGAAAUUUUGAAUAACAUUUUCUUUUUUCUAAUAACAUACAUAGAAGUAAAUAAGUGAGAAAUAUUAAUUGACUUGGUA
Molecule: long non-coding RNA, 472 nt
Organism: Magnolia sinica
Lineage: Eukaryota; Viridiplantae; Streptophyta; Magnoliopsida; Magnoliales; Magnoliaceae
Exons: 3
Source: RefSeq, a predicted model, not a curated record